AUUGAACGCUGGCGGCAUGCCUUACACAUGCAAGUCGAACGGCAGCACGGACUUCGGUCUGGUGGCGAGUGGCGAACGGGUGAGUAAAGUAUCGGAACGUACCCUAGAGUGGGGGAUAACUAUCCGAAAGGAUAGCUAAUACCGCAUAUUCUAUGAGUAGGAAAGCAGGGGAUCGCAAGACCUUGUGCUCUGGGAGCGGCCGAUAUCAGAUUAGCGAGUUGGUGGGGUAAAGGCUCACCAAGGCGACGAUCUGUAGCGGGUCUGAGAGGAUGAUCCGCCACACUGGAACUGAGACACGGUCCAGACUCCUACGGGAGGCAGCAGUGGGGAAUUUUGGACAAUGGGGGCAACCCUGAUCCAGCCAUGCCGCGUGAGUGAAGAAGGCCUUCGGGUUGUAAAGCUCUUUCGGCCGGGAAGAAAUCGCACGGGUUAAUACCCUGUGUGGAUGACGGUACCGGAAUAAGAAGCACCGGCUAACUACGUGCCAGCAGCCGCCGUAA
RNAcentral lists this ribosomal RNA (500 nucleotides) under uncultured bacterium. Its description in RNAcentral is "partial 16S ribosomal RNA". It matches the Rfam family "Bacterial small subunit ribosomal RNA", at positions 30 to 523 of the family's 1533-position model. The record is from RNAcentral.